Molecule: long non-coding RNA, 435 nt
Organism: Mesocricetus auratus (golden hamster)
Lineage: Eukaryota; Metazoa; Chordata; Mammalia; Rodentia; Cricetidae
Exons: 4
Source: RefSeq, a predicted model, not a curated record
GGAGCUACCCUCGAUGUAAAGUGAUACAGAAUGGAGUUUUCAGCCUUAUUCAUUCUCUCCAUGCUCCCUGUGGGUGUGCUCCCUAUGGGGACCCUAGGAGAGGCUGUGUCUCUGGAAACUUAACUAGGCAAAAAUUGGUAUUGUGGCUGGGAAUGCAGCUGAUCCAAGGCAAGAUGCUUCAAGAACUGAGAGAAGGUCACAAAAAGGACAAGGGGAAGGAAGUCUGGAUCUGGUUUGAACUGUCACAUUGUCCCAGGAACAAGGUGAAUGCUGGGAAACUUCUUAUCAGGAGCUGGGUAUCAGUGAGGUUCCAAGGCUGCUGGGAAGUCAAAGUAAAGCCAAACCAUGUGUCCCGGUGCUUGGUCCAACACAUAUGUUCACAACAGGGAGGCGGGGCGAACAGAAGGUGAAGUUGUGAGAAGUCAGGACAUCGUU